Molecule: ribosomal RNA, 495 nt
Filed under: uncultured bacterium
Lineage: Bacteria
Description: partial 16S ribosomal RNA
Rfam family: Bacterial small subunit ribosomal RNA
Source: RNAcentral
GACGAACGCUGGCGGCGUGCCUAAUACAUGCAAGUAGAACGCUGAAGGAGGAGCUUGCUUCUCUGGAUGAGUUGCGAACGGGUGAGUAACGCGUAGGUAACCUGCCUGGUAGCGGGGGAUAACUAUUGGAAACGAUAGCUAAUACCGCAUAAUAGUAGAUGUUGCAUGACAUUUGCCUAAAAGGUGCAAUUGCAUCACUACCAGAUGGACCUGCGUUGUAUUAGCUAGUUGGUGGGGUAACGGCUCACCAAGGCGACGAUACAUAGCCGACCUGAGAGGGUGAUCGGCCACACUGGGACGGAGACACGGCCCAGACUCCUACGGGAGGCAGCAGUAGGGAAUCGUCGGCAAUGGACGGAAGUCUGACCGAGCAACGCCGCGUGAGUGAAGAAGGUUUUCGGAUCGUAAAGCUCUGUUGUAAGAGAAGAACGAGUGUGAGAGUGGAAAGUUCACACUGUGACGGUAUCUUACCAGAAAGGGACGGCUAACUACGUG